Molecule: long non-coding RNA, 532 nt
Organism: Amblyraja radiata (thorny skate)
Lineage: Eukaryota; Metazoa; Chordata; Chondrichthyes; Rajiformes; Rajidae
Exons: 3
Source: RefSeq, a predicted model, not a curated record
ACCAAACAGUCCUAUCUACUGUACAGGAAGGAAGGAACUGCAGAUGCUGGUUUACACCGAAGAUAGACACAAAGUGCUGGAGUAACGCAGCGGGACAGGCAGCAGCUCUGGUGAGAAGGAAUGGGUGGCGUUCCGGGUCGAGACCCUUCUCCAGAAUGAGUGUCAGCGAAGAGGGAGACAUCGAGAUACGGAAGGAGCACAGACUUCAAGCGGAAGCGACAGAUUUUGAAAGGAGAAAGAUCGUACGACGGCUUCUCUCCGAGGCAGAGUUCCGAAAGGACUUUCCCAACCACCGGAGCAAGCUUGAACCCAUGACCUAAAAAUAUAAAGUCAGACCCGUAAGGAAAGAUUAUCAAGCUGCAGAAUAUAAUCAACUAAUUUUCAAAUUCUGGGGCUGCUAAAUAUAACGUUCUGCCAUUCCAGGAACUAUAAAGAGCAAAUAUUAAAUAUAAACAUUUUCUUCCUGUGCUAGAAUUGUUCUCUUCAUUUUAGCCGUCUGACCGUUUCACCUGGCCAUUCGGACCAUCAAGUC